ACCUAAAUAGUUUAAUCAAAAUAUUGAUUUGUGGUGUCAAAGAUAUAAUCAGUUAUUUUAGGUC
RNAcentral lists this transfer RNA (64 nucleotides) under Cinygmina sp. 07BF85. RNAcentral's name for it is "tRNA-His". The record is from RNAcentral. Lineage: Eukaryota; Metazoa; Arthropoda; Insecta; Ephemeroptera; Heptageniidae.